CAAUAGCGUAUAUUAAAGUUGUUGCAGUUAAAAAGCUCGUAGUUGGAUUUCUGAUCGAGACAUCAGGUCGGGUCCGAGAGGAUCAUGUACUUUGAUUUUGUUUUGAUCAUCCUUGGGGAGAGCAUUUCUGGCAUUCAGUUGUCGGGAUCGGGAUCCUCAUCGUUUACUGUGAAAAAAUUAGAGUGUUCAAAGCAGGCCUCGGCCUCUGAAUACAUUAGCAUGGAAUAAUAAGAUAGGACUUUGGUGGUCUAUUUUGUUGGUUUGCACGCCAAAGUAAUGAUUAAUAGGGAUAGUUGGGGGUAUUCGUAUUCAAUUGUCAGAGGUGAAAUUCUUGGAUUUAUGGAAGACGAACUACUGCGAAAGCAUUUACCAAGGAUGUUUUCAUUAA
This 388-nucleotide ribosomal RNA is filed under the name uncultured eukaryote. RNAcentral's name for it is "partial 18S ribosomal RNA". It matches the Rfam family "Eukaryotic small subunit ribosomal RNA", at positions 592 to 976 of the family's 1831-position model. The record is from RNAcentral.